RNAcentral lists this ribosomal RNA (305 nucleotides) under uncultured bacterium. Its description in RNAcentral is "partial 16S ribosomal RNA". It matches the Rfam family "Bacterial small subunit ribosomal RNA", at positions 337 to 659 of the family's 1533-position model. The record is from RNAcentral.
CCCUACGGGGGGCAGCAGAGGGGGAUAUUGCACAAUGGGGGGAACCCUGAUGCAGCGACGCCGCGUGGGCGAUGGAGUGCUUCGGCAUGUAAAGCCCUAUCAGCAGGGAAGAAAAUGACGGUACCUGACUAAGAAGCUCCGGCUAACUACGUGCCAGCAGCCGCGGUAAUACGUAGGGAGCAAGCGUUAUCCGGAUUUACUGGGUGUAAAGGGCGUGUAGGCGGGCCUGCAAGUCAGAAGUGAAAUCUGGGGGCUUAACCCCCAAACUGCUUUUGAAACUGUGGGUCUUGAGUGAUGGAGAGGCG